This is a long non-coding RNA of Alligator mississippiensis (American alligator), 1307 nucleotides long. RefSeq lists it as uncharacterized. The transcript has 4 exons. The record is from RefSeq and is a predicted model, not a curated record. NCBI's taxonomy places the organism in Eukaryota, Metazoa, Chordata, Crocodylia, Alligatoridae.
CCAUAUAAACAGGGCAGCUUGGCUGCUAGAGGUGAAGGCAACAACAAUGUCUGGCUGGAGGGUUGCUGAUAUCAUCUGGAGGAAAAGAAGAGAUUACUAAGCACCCCAAAAUGUUUUCUGUUCCCUAACCCACACCUGGAUCUUAGUCAUACCAGGCAGAACCUACAGAAACAGAGAGGAAAAAAUAUUCUUUUAUCAUCUCAACCACUGUGUAAACAAGGUGUGAAAGCUGGAAAUAAAUUAAAGCUUUGGACAUUCACCAAAAUGCCUUUGGAAACAAAUGCCUUAGAAACUACCAGAUAUUAAAGAAGAUGGAAAUAUUUGGGUGAUGUAUUCAGAAGGAAGCUCCAUGUCUGUGAUAGCAUGAAUGCAACUGGCACCUUGAGGAAGACACAACUGGAAGAAUCCCUUCCUUAAAUAUCACCCAGAUUAAAUGUAGGGAACUUGAAAGAUGGACAGACAGAGAUAGAAGUCUUGGUCAUGCCCAAAGUGAUAUCAGAUGGUAGGGGAAGAAGGAGUCAGCUUCAGAGACUUAACAAAUAGUCUUUAAAACAUGAACUGAAAAAAAGAUUUGACAGUGACCCUUAGGACAUUCAGUGUCAAUUUGCAGGCAGUAGCUGUGUAAAGGUGUUGAGUUUCAUUUCUUUGAAUGAAGUAGCAAGCACUGACACUAGACAUCUACUAUCCACCAAUGCAUACAGUACUAUGUGAUAUGUAAAAUUAAAUGUCAAAAGAUCGGUUAAAUAACUGACAGACUUACCUCUACUUGAAUCAUUGAGGAGCAAUAUUUAAUAUUUUAAUUUCACAUUAAUAUAUUAAUAUAAUAUAAUUAUUAAAAUAUACUAUUACUAUGCAUAAAACAUUGUGUCAAUGUAUUGUUGCUUUAUUACCUUGUAAAAUAAGAAAUAAAAUGUGCUAGAAGUCUGUAUUUACUUUGACUGCAAGCUUAGUAAACUAAUUUUUCAAGCUUCACUCUAAUGGUUUACCAUGUUACUGGAAGCUCUCAAUUAAGUUACAAUAAAGUUGUUAUGCACAGUUAAGUGCCCAUUAUUUCUUUAUCUUACCUAUAGUAAUAUUUUAUGUCAGAAAUUAAAAAUUCUAAACAUAAUAAGAUUCAUGUAUCUGUUACUCAUCUGUCUGUGGCCUCACAGCACUAUCAGAGUUCCUGACUGUUAUUUAGUGGCCAAGCUUAUGACUAAUUUAUGAAAAUGCUUUUGGGAUACAUAAAGGCUGCAAGACUCUACCUGUCAGAAUGAUGUAAGCAAUAUAUAAAUAAAAAACAAGGAAAAACAAUAAACUUACCAUUA